Molecule: long non-coding RNA, 427 nt
Filed under: Solanum tuberosum (potato)
Lineage: Eukaryota; Viridiplantae; Streptophyta; Magnoliopsida; Solanales; Solanaceae
Description: long non-coding RNA (STUB_LNC000229)
Source: RNAcentral
UCACCUAUUUUCUUAUAUCUUUUCCUAGAUUAGAAAAUAUUAUCUUUAUUUUUAAUCCGUCAUAGUUUUCAUAUGUUUUUUCAUCUAUUGCGUAUUCUUGCUUAUUCAUUUAUAGAUUGUGUUGAAGUUUAUAUUCUAAGUUAUUUAUUUGUAUUAACAGAUAUAAAAUAGUCUUUCAUUGUGCUAUUAUAGAUUUGUGACAAAUUCCUGCAAAUAUAUUACUGUUAAGUCUACUUUGCCUAUGUGCUAAUUCUUGUCUUUUUGCUAUAAUUAUUUCAUUAAGUUUUUGUCUAUAUUCGUUAUUCUCGUUAUUCAUUGUAAUUUUAAAUAUUGAAUAUAUUUAUAUUCUACUUUAGAUAUAUUAUCUAUUAAUUGAUUUAAUUUUUCGUUAUCAGUUUUUUGUGAUAUUAAGUUGUUUAUAUUCCGG